CCUAGCUGCAUCACACUGUCUGCCCCAUGGGGACCUGGAGCACAAUGUGUCCUCAGCAUCCCUAGCUGCAUCACACUCAUCCCUAGCUGCAUCACACUGUCUGCCCCAUGGGGACCUGGAGCACAAUGUGUCCUCAGCAUCCCUAGCUGCAUCACACUGUCUGCCCCAUGGGGACCUGGAGCACAAUGUGUCCUCAGCAUCCCUAGCUGCAUCACACUCAUCCCUAGCUGCAUCACACUGUCUGCCCCAUGG
Long non-coding RNA from Haliotis rubra (blacklip abalone), 252 nucleotides. RefSeq lists it as uncharacterized. The transcript has 3 exons. Lineage: Eukaryota; Metazoa; Mollusca; Gastropoda; Lepetellida; Haliotidae. The record is from RefSeq and is a predicted model, not a curated record.